Molecule: small nucleolar RNA, 131 nt
Organism: Molossus molossus (Pallas's mastiff bat)
Lineage: Eukaryota; Metazoa; Chordata; Mammalia; Chiroptera; Molossidae
Product: small nucleolar RNA SNORA44
Exons: 1
Source: RefSeq, a predicted model, not a curated record
GAGCAUGUUUCCAAGGGUUGUGGCUGAUGGUAGCCAUGGGCAUUCCAACUGCAUUUGAGAGCAACCUGGAGAGACUUUGACAGCUUAAGUCAGCAUAAUACCUACAGCUACUACUCACCUUUCCUGUGUGU